Physeter macrocephalus (sperm whale) is the source of this 4235-nucleotide RNA transcript. It is a transcript of the gene named transmembrane protein 254, with no coding region annotated. Lineage: Eukaryota; Metazoa; Chordata; Mammalia; Artiodactyla; Physeteridae. The record is from RefSeq and is a predicted model, not a curated record. The transcript has 2 exons.
UUCUCUGCCAACCCGUAGUGGAUGGAGGUCUAGGACACCUGGAGGAUAAAGAAAUUAGCUACUCCUGUUACAUGGGGAGCGGGUGAGUUAAAUACAAGAGACAAACCCCUUCUGAAUCUCCAGUUGACAUCUCCAGUUGACUGUGGGUUUCUUAUAGAUUGACAUAAACUACUCACGUCUGAGUAAAGAUCUUCUGGCUCCUUCUUCUGGAUUCCUUAUAUGUGCAUGACGGGUUAAUGGUAAGACCCUUUGGUCAUGGGCUGUACUACUCUUCCCUUUCAUAGUAAGAGGAGGCACAGGACACUAAGUAACUUGCUGGGCUCAGAUAAAAGUGGUGGAAGAUAUGAAACCUAGCUUCCAAUAGUCCUCUAAUCUAAGCCAUUUUGCAUCUUCAACAACUUUUAUUCUAACAUGAGUUAUUUUCCAAUAACUUCCUCACUGCAGAUUUAACACCUGAAGAGAAAUACUAAACAAAAAUAGCUUAAAAUUAGGGAAUUUCUUGAAAAGUUUUGGUAAGGUAAAGGCUUGAUCAGGACUGUAGUUGUGGGGAUUUCCCUGGUGGCACAGCGGUUAAGAAUCCGCCUGCCAAUGCAGGGGACACGGGUUCGACCCCUGGUCUAGGAAGAUCCCACAUGCCACGGAGCAACUAAGCCCGUGCACAACUACUGAGCCUGUGCUCUAGAGCCCGCGAGCCACAACUACUGAGCCCACGCACCACAACUACUGAAGCCCGCUCACCUAGAGCCCAUGCUCCGCAACAAGAGAAGCCACCGUAAUGAGAAACCCGCGCACCACAACGAAGAGUAGCCCCCGCUUGCCGCAACUAGAGAAAGCCCGCAUGCAGCAACAAAGACCCAAUGCAGCCAUAAAUAAAUAAAUUUAUUUUUUAAAAAAAGAACUGUACUUGUGGAAGAUUAACCUGUCACUUUGUAGGACAAAUUUGAAAAAGAGAUUACUGAAGUGGUAGAACAUACCUCACUUGGGAUGACCCAGGGAGGCAGUAAAAAUUAAACCGUGGUUUUGUAACCAGCAAUGGCUCAUGUGCCAGCGGCAUAGAAACCCAAACUCUGGCAGCAGGUGUUUGCAGCAAAGUCAGGAUUUAUUACAAGUCUCAGAACCACUCCAACUUGGUCUUUGAGUGACGGGUUUUUUAAAGGGGAAGAACAGGCUGGGAUUAAUCAUCAUUCUGUGAUAUUUCUGUGACAUUUCUUAAUCAUUGUUUGGGGAAUCAGGAUGUCCCUGGUUUAUGAUUCUCAGGCAAGUGGUCCAUGCCUCUGGGGUCUAUUAGCUUGUCUUAUCCUGGAGAAACAACCUGAGUUUGUACAUUAACGGUGAUAUCUACAACAGCAAUUUUAGUCAUUUGACUCUGGUUGAUUAGUGUUCAGUUAGUUAGUUCAUUAGAUUAAUGGUCAGAUGGGACAAAGAAAAGAAAUACAGUUUUGGAUAGAGAGAUUAAUCAUAAAUUCAAUUCAAUAUCUUGUAAUAAUCUAUAAUGGAAAAGAAUCUAAAGAAGUAUAUGUAUAACUGAAUCACUUUGCUGUACACCUGAAACAACAUUGUAACUCAACUAUAUUUCAAUAAAAAUUUCAAAAAUAAAAAAAUCAUAAAUUCAGCAAGGUAACUUGAUUUUAGGGGGCUUGGCUUCAGUUUAAUCCAGAAAGAUGAGAUAUCAUGUUACUUAAUCAACAGAACUCUUGACAGAUGACUAGAUAUGAGGGCAGCCAAAGGGAAGAGUCUGGGUGCCUGGAAGAAUGAAGAUGAUAUUAAUGUAAAUAGGGGGGUCUCGGCAAGGACUGACUCUGUGGAUAAUAGUGAACUUCUGGUCUUUAAGGUGUGGUGCCGUACCUAGUAAAGGUGACCAGCAGGCAACUGGAGAGAGGCUGAGACUGGGGGGAUUGUUUUAGAGUCAUCCGGAGGUGAAAAUUAAAGUUCAAAAAGACUGUAAACACAGAGAAGAUAAUAGGAAACACCUGUAUCUAGGGGACAAGCAGUAAAAGAAAAGCUGAGAAAAUAGAGGUAUUCAGGGACGGAGGAGAACCAAGAGGGUGAUGUGAUGAAGAAAGAUUAGAACUAAGCAAAGCUGUUGAGCCCUGGUAAACCUGAUAUUGACAGGCACUGUGGUUUAUCUGGGAAAUGGACUGUGUCACACAUUCUGGAAACCAUUCUUUAAAACAUAGCCAAAUACAGUCAUGAAAAAAAUGAGGAAACAACUUUGGCUGUUUCCGUGUCAACUGAAAAAGUUCUGGAAAUAUCCCAUACGUUAUAUAUAGCAUGGUCCUUAAGAGUGCUGGAACACUCAGCUGCCACUUGACUUCCAGUAUACCUACCCAUUUAUGUGACUUCGGGUACUUCUCUGUGCUAUUUCCUGUCUUUCAAAUGAAGGACAAUAGUCUACAGCAUAGAGCUGUUUUGAGAAUUAAGUGAGCUAAUACUUCUAAAACAAUGCCUGGAACAUAGUAAGUGCUCAGUAAAUAUCGGCUAUUGCUUUCACAAUAGCUUUUAAAGCCCGGGUGAAACCACCUUUCUCUCCUGAAGUCUCAUCAGAACACUUUGGCUUGAUGUGCCUCCCACCUCGCAUUGAUGAUACAGCACUUAGCACAGGGGCCUGGCAAAUACGCCGAAGGCUCAGUAGUAUUAAUAACCAAAACUUAUAAAGCACUAUGGGCUGGACACUUUUGUGAGUGCUAUUGACUGAAAGAAAAAUGCACAAUGUAAGAGCUACGAGUUGAGUUUAUGCAGUGCCUUACUGGGGACUACAGACCAAGAGACAGCCUCUCAGAUAGCUCUGAGGAGGUAGGGGGAGAGGCCAGCAUAUAUGAUUUUGGGUAAUGAGCACAUACAAUCAAGCACACAUCUCAAUAGAAAGUUACUGCUAGUCAAGAGGAACAGAUAUCUCAGUUAAUGAUUGUAGUGCUUUUCUAAGUAUGGGAAAAUGCAAGAAUCUGAGUUCAUAAAAUUUUUUUCCUGAAAUAUAUCUAACCACCUAAGGGCCUGUUUGGCCUGUUUUCCCAAAGCACUGAGUGCAUCAUGCUAUUCUUCAUCCUGAAUUCCUUUCAGGGUGUCCUGUAGGUCAGCAACUGCAGUGGCUAAUGACGUGCUCCUUGUACAACUGGAUGGUGGGCAACAUUCUUUGCUUUACAGCGGUUUUAUUACAAGUAUUAACUCAUUUAAUCCACCCAAAGGCUCUGAGAUAGGAACCAAUGUAUCCCCACUUUACAGGUAGAGAAAUUAAGGCACAGAUGGGUAAUGUAACUAGUGUAAGCUUACACAAAAAGUUACUGGCAGAGCCAGGAGGUAAAAGUAAACCCAGGUAUCUGUUCCACAGCCCCUUCUUGUAAGUGCUGUGCCAUAUCGGUCCAUACAUCUUUACUAAUGAAGAGAAAGAGCAUUAUUUCUAUUGACCUGAAACAAACAGAAUGCCAACUAUUUCUCCAGGAAAGAUAGGUUUAUUCUGCGAUAAGCAAAGAAUUACACUUUAGGGUCUGCAACCACAGUGAGCCACAGCACAAGUCGUGUGUCCCCCCCCAGGGACAUUGUUGUUCUUCUUACAACACUUGUAAGAAGAAAAGGAAGUUGGGAGGGCUAUAAAAAACAGAGUCCAUGGGUUUUCUUUGGCUGAGUCGUUGCCAGGAAAGAAGACAGGUCUUCUCCCUAUCAGCCUCUGCUAACGUCACAGAGUGUGUGAGUCCCCCUUUCCAGUAUCCCAAGUCUAUUUAAUUGCAGUUUCUAUUUAUAAUUUUUUUUUACAUUUCCCACAGAGCAGAGCAGAGCUGAAGUUCAAAAAUUGGAUUCAUAGUCAUUAAGAGCAUAAAGCACCAUCUAUUCCAACACCAUUAUCUUAAGCCCCAGAAAGUGACACUCAGAGAGGGGUCUCCCCUGCAAGGUGAUAACCAGCCCACCAGGCCAGAGCCGAUGGAGACUCGUUUUCAGAGUUUCAGGCCCACAGACUCUUCUCCCUCUGGGGAGGUAGGUAAGAGGAGGGAGGAGUGUUUGCCACGGCCCCGCCCCCAUCCUUGCCUUCCUCCAGAGCAGAGGUGGCCUGCUCAGCAUUCCCUGGGACGUACUGUAACGAUGGGGAAGGCAGGAGGAGAUGAGACGUACUUCCAGAGGAGCAGUCUUUUCUGGGUCACCGUCAUCACCCUCUCCUUUGGCUAUUACACGUGGAUGAUCUUCUGGCCUGAGGCUAUUCCUUAUCAGAGCCUAGGGCCGCUGGGCCCCUUCACUCAGUACUUACU